AUUGAACGCUGGCGGCAGGCCUAACACAUGCAAGUCGAACGAGUGGCGGACGGGUGAGUAAUGUCUGGGAAACUGCCUGAUGGAGGGGGAUAACUACUGGAAACGGUAGCUAAUACCGCAUACCAUCGGAUGUGCCCAGAUGGGCUUAGCUAGUAGGUGGGGUAAAGGCUCACCUAGGCGACGAUCCCUAGCUGGUCUGAGAGGAUGACCAGCCAGACGGGAACUGAGACACGGCCCAGACUCCUACGGGAGGCAGCAGUAGGGAAUCGUGCGCAAUGGGCGCAAGCCUGAUGGAGCCAUGCCGCGUGUAUGAAGAAGGCGUUCGGAUUGUAAAGUACUUUCAGCAGGGAGGCGUUACCCGCCAAAGAAGCACCGGCUAACUCCGUGCCAGCAGCCGCGGUAAUAC
RNAcentral lists this ribosomal RNA (406 nucleotides) under uncultured bacterium. Its description in RNAcentral is "partial 16S ribosomal RNA". It matches the Rfam family "Bacterial small subunit ribosomal RNA", at positions 30 to 526 of the family's 1533-position model. The record is from RNAcentral.